This 1152-nucleotide long non-coding RNA is filed under the name Sorghum bicolor (sorghum). Its description in RNAcentral is "long non-coding RNA (SBIC_LNC006573)". Lineage: Eukaryota; Viridiplantae; Streptophyta; Magnoliopsida; Poales; Poaceae. The record is from RNAcentral.
CCUAUCCCUCAUAUGUAAACAAAUUUUGAUGAUUUGAGAUUAAUCCAAGUGUUUUCGAAGCCGAGCUGCUGAGUGUUCUUACACAACCCUGUUCUUCCAUAUUCAUCUUGAACUUGUGGGGAGAUCUCUCUGAGAUCCACUAAUUCAUGCUCUACGGGUUUCAGUACGGCUGCCCCGUCUUGUGUGGAUUAGCUCCUGCUGUGGUUCUGCGGUCGUUCGGAGAUCGAGUCGAAGUCUUCAGGGUUUCGGUGCCUCUCUCCCCGUCGCUUGGUCGCAUCCAACCUUGGCAGGUAUAAAACUAGUUAUCCGUUGUUCUUCAGAAACAUUACCCUCUUCAUAUCGUUGUUCGUCAGCAAGUUAUCAUAUUUUCGCUGUUACUUAGUAAGUAAUCUAGUUUAUAGACCUACUGCCGUGAAGAUCGGGCCAACCUUAGUACCGAUCUCGGGUCGGUACCUAUCACGUGGUAUCAAAGCUUUCCGUUGUCACGGUAGAUCUUAUCACCAUCCAUAUAUUUAUCCUUGUUGAUCUAUUACAUAUAUUUGUUUUGUCCUACAGUCCAAAGCCAUAAAAAAUUACCUAUAACCCUUGGCGGUACUGUUUCCGUAUGUUUUUGUGUUCUUCAAGUUGCUAUUCACCAUUUUUAUAUAUUUCACAUUGUGUUUCAUUGGUUAUCCGCACCCCUCUUGGUAUAAAAAAAAUAAAAAAUAAAUAAAAAAAGAGAGGAAAACAAAAGAAAAGAAGUUCAAGGGGAUUUGUUGCGGUUUGUUUUCUGAAACUUUCAGAUUAUAUUUUGAGUUUGGUGGUGUUCUUGAUAGCAGUAAUUCACAUCUAUAGAAUACAUCAAACCACUUGGUUUACAGUACCGUAUUCCUCCUUGUUUAACCACCGAUAGCUCCACACAAAAAACUAAAACUGGGACGUCGACUCGUAAUCCUUGCGACCUCAGAGUCACUUUUGUUGAUGCUGCCACAACAAGCACAACCACAGUCCAUGAGAUCUGGAGAAUUGGGUAAGUAUGAGGUGAGAUUGAGUGUAUCCACAAAUAUUUUUUAUUUCCAUUCCACUUUUGUGCUGCCCCUAAUAUGGUAGGAUCCGACUCAAGUGUUCAUGGUGGGCACCGCAGUGAUGGGGAUCCCCCUGUCUCCCGGGCUG